This 30-nucleotide non-coding RNA is filed under the name Mus musculus (house mouse). Lineage: Eukaryota; Metazoa; Chordata; Mammalia; Rodentia; Muridae. The record is from RNAcentral.
UGAGUCCUUUGUUAUAUCCUACAUGGUUAC